RNAcentral lists this ribosomal RNA (500 nucleotides) under uncultured bacterium. Its description in RNAcentral is "partial 16S ribosomal RNA". It matches the Rfam family "Bacterial small subunit ribosomal RNA", at positions 29 to 523 of the family's 1533-position model. The record is from RNAcentral.
AUCGAACGCUGGCGGCAUGCCUUACACAUGCAAGUCGAACGGCAGCACGGGAGCAAUCCUGGUGGCGAGUGGCGAACGGGUGAGUAAAGUAUCGGAACGUGCCCAGUCGGGGGGGAUAACGUAGCGAAAGUUACGCUAAUACCGCAUACGAUCUAUGGAUGAAAGCGGGGGAUCGCAAGACCUCGCGCGAUUGGAGCGGCCGAUAUCAGAUUAGGUAGUUGGGGGGGUAAAGGCUCACCAAGCCGACGAUCUGUAGCUGGUCUGAGAGGACGACCAGCCCCACUGGGACUGAGACACGGCCCAGACUCCUACGGGAGGCAGCGGUGGGGAAUUGUGGACAAUGGGCGAAAGCCUGAUCCAGCCAUGCCGCGUGCAGGAUGAAGGCCUUCGGGUUGUAAACUGCUUUUGUACGGAACGAAAAGGUUUGGCCUAAUAAGCUGAGCUCAUGACGGUACCGUAAGAAUAAGCACCGGCUAACUACGUGCCAGCCGCCGCCGUAA